RNAcentral lists this ribosomal RNA (253 nucleotides) under uncultured bacterium. Its description in RNAcentral is "partial 16S ribosomal RNA". It matches the Rfam family "Bacterial small subunit ribosomal RNA", at positions 524 to 776 of the family's 1533-position model. The record is from RNAcentral.
UACGUAGGCAGCGAGCGUUGUUCGGAGUUACUGGGCGUAAAGAGUGCGUAGGCGGUUUUCUAAGUUUGGUGUGAAAUCUCCCGGUUUAACUGGGAGGGUGCGCCGAAAACUGGAAGGCUUGAGUAUGGGAGAGGUAAGCGGAAUUCCUGGUGUAGCGGUGAAAUGCGUAGAUAUCAGGAGGAACACCUGCGGUGUAGACGGCUUACUGGACCAUAACUGACGCUGAGGCACGAAAGCGUGGGUAGCAAACAGG